This is a long non-coding RNA of Capsicum annuum, 559 nucleotides long. RefSeq lists it as uncharacterized. NCBI's taxonomy places the organism in Eukaryota, Viridiplantae, Streptophyta, Magnoliopsida, Solanales, Solanaceae. The record is from RefSeq and is a predicted model, not a curated record. The transcript is spliced from 3 exons.
UCUCUUUCCAAAGCAAUUUAUUUCGUCGAAAUCCAACAUCGGAGUAAAAAGUUAUACCCAAUUUACUUCAGCAUGUCAGUCUGUCAAACCGAGGGACUGCUGCGGCAUUUUUUAUUUCCUCAGGGGUAUUUUGGUAUUUUUCAUCCCAAAAUUCUUCCACGCGAUUUAAAUCAUCCAAAACACUCUAUAAUCCAUUUCUUUUAUCAGUUUUAAUCUCUCAAUUCCUCUCCUCUCGCAAAAGUAAAAUGGAAACUAAGCUUUCUUUCAAGAUCAAGAAUCAAUCUCGUAAGUCCAAGAUUUUCAAGAAAUCAAGAUUCGAGUUCUACUCUUCAAACCUUGUAAUCUAAGGAUCUGAGGCACAGUCUCGGGGUCCAGUUUAGCAAUAGGUUUGAGUGCGUCGAAAGUUGCAAUUGUUUCUCUUUGUAAAUGAAUGGUGUAUAUGGUUGCAAGUCAGAAGGGCUCUCGGGCCUUCAUGAUUUGGGAUCCCCAUCACGGCUAGGGCCUUGUUUCGGGUCGUGACAAACUUGGUAUCAGAGCACGGUUCAUGGUCCCAGGGUGU